UUUAGGCAUAAAUGAAACCUUCACAAUGGAGUUGUCAAAUAAUCUAGAAAAAGAAUAAUCCUGUUUACAGAAAAAAUACACAGAAGAACCUAAUCAGCAACAGCAGCAAACUAAAAACACAGGAUCUUUGUGAAGUGGUUUAUGGGAGAUGGAUGGACCCUGGUUUUCUUUACAAACUGUCUUUAAAAAAAAAAAAAAGUGUGGUAUCUUUUGCAAUUUGCAUGAGUUCACCAUACCUUGUCAGUUGAUGGCACUUUGACACCUGAAGACUUUUAGAAAGGAACUAUAUACAGACAA
Molecule: long non-coding RNA, 297 nt
Organism: Mauremys reevesii (Reeves's turtle)
Lineage: Eukaryota; Metazoa; Chordata; Testudines; Geoemydidae
Exons: 2
Source: RefSeq, a predicted model, not a curated record